This 379-nucleotide ribosomal RNA is filed under the name uncultured eukaryote. RNAcentral describes it as "partial 18S ribosomal RNA". It matches the Rfam family "Eukaryotic small subunit ribosomal RNA", at positions 592 to 976 of the family's 1831-position model. The record is from RNAcentral.
CAAUAGCGUAUAUUAAAGUUGUUGCGGUAAAAAAGCUCGUAGUUGGAUUUCUGUUGAGAGCGACCGGUCCAUACCAUGUAUGCGUAUCUGGCUUGCUCUCGGCAUCCUCUCGAUAGACGUUACUGCGCUUGAUUGCGUGGUGCGGAUCUCGGGACUUUUACUUUGAGGAAAUUAGAGUGUUCACGGCAGGCUUUCGCCAGAAUACAUUAGCAUGGAAUAAUACUAUAGGAUCUUGGUUCUAUUUUGUUGGUUUCUAGAAUUGAGAUAAUGAUUAAUAGGGACAAUUGGGGGCAUUCGUAUCAACACGUCAGAGGUGGAAUUCUUGGAUUGUGUUGCGACGAACUACUGCGAUAGCAUUUGCCAAGGAUGUUUUCAUUGA